GGUUUGGAUCGCUUAAACUGGUGAGGCGAGUGACGUUACUUUCGACUUCAUUUGUUCCAGCCAAGAUUCAACCCCCCCGGAAAUUUGGUCCCCAGUUUGUAAAUCCAGCGGCGUUCUCCUGUUUUCCGUUCCCUGUCUGUCCAAUUCCCAUUUCGCUGUAAACCACAAAUUUUCAUAGCCGUCAAUCCAUGUUUUGUAAAAUGCUGGACUACGAGCGUGUUUAAUUCCUUCCCAUUUUUGAUGUUAUAUCGAUGUUGAGUGAUGCGUGUCAUUAAAGAAUUUUUUGUUUCCCCAACAUAUUGUUUGCCACAUUUUUCACAAUAAAUCAUGUAAACACAA
Long non-coding RNA from Phyllopteryx taeniolatus (common seadragon), 339 nucleotides. RefSeq lists it as uncharacterized. The record is from RefSeq and is a predicted model, not a curated record. Lineage: Eukaryota; Metazoa; Chordata; Actinopteri; Syngnathiformes; Syngnathidae. The transcript has 2 exons.